CAAUCGGUUCAGACCAGAAGAACGCUCGCUCGCUAGACUUUUACUAUUUCUGUAAAUCAAAAUCCUUUUCGCAAGCUAUUCUCUGGUACUGUUCUUAGGUUUCGAAAUCAUUUUUUUCUUCUGGCGUUUUCAUCGCGCUGGAGGUUUUGGAGUCAGCUCCUCACCGUCUCCAAUCGUCGUCUGCUAUCCUUCGCCGUCGCAGUCAGCUCCUCACCGUCUCGGAGCUUCACCGUGACCAAGCCUCUUCGUCUUGCUCUGCCGUCAUCGUUGGGCUCCAGAUCCGGCGAAGAGAAAGCUUCGAUCCUCUCCAAUGGUGGAGUGUUACGUAGUUGCAAGACAGGUCCCUGAACUUUUGCUUUUGAUUUCUGAUCUUUGUUUCCAGAGCAGCCCGAGUUUGAAGAUGGUUUUAACGAGAAUGCAGAAGCUUCAAGAUCUAGCACCAACCAUGCUGGAGCUCUGGAAUUUGAUGGAUACACCCAUAGAAGAGCAGCAAGAGUAUCAGCACAUUACCUGCAAUAUAGCUGCAUCAGAACAUGAAAUAACUCAAGCCAAUAGUCUCUCUGAAGACUUCAUCCAAUACGUUGAGGCAGAAGUUGUCCGAUUGGACGAAGUAGAGAACUUUUUAUGAAGAAGAGAUCAGAGCUAGAGGAGAUAUGUAGGAAAACCCACAUGUUACCAGUUUCAGAUAGUGCUAUGGAUCAGACUAUAGUAGCCAUAGAAUCUGGUAUUGCGGACACCACAUUGGUCCUGGAGCAUCUUGAGCCACAUAUAUCUAAGGUCAAAGAGGAAGCUUCAAGUAGGAAAGAGAUACUUGCUCAAGAAGAGAUCUUGAGCAACAUAUUGUGGACGCCACAGUCUCUGGCUUAUGAUCGAAGAGGCAGAGGAAAAGACUAUGUGAGGUAUCUUACUUGAAUCCACAACUCAAUCAAAACCUCAAGGAGGUGAAGUCGUGGCUGUGGGUGAAGGAAGAUGAUAAUCUAGGCUUAGCAAAGUGUCUUGAGGUAGAGGAAGCUAUAAGGUAUUCCGUGCGAUGGCUCUAUAUGGGUCUGAGCCUAAUGCGUAUACCUAUAGUUAAUUCUAUAUGGAAACAGCAACGCUGAGCCUGUGGCUGAAGCUUGUGCCCAGCUGACUCAAGAGUUCUUUAAGGGUGAUACUCUCUGCCGCUUGAUCACUUCACUUCAUUAUUUGAACUUGGAGGUAAUUUCAGAUUCAGACAAAGCAAUGCUGCAGGAGAUUCAUUGUAACGGUAGGGUGGGUGAGAACUUGAAGGAGGAGCUUGAGAACUUUAGUGUGCAGUUAGGGGAGCUGAGAAGGAAUAAAGCUGAGAAUGAAUCGGUUUAAGGAAGUUAUUGAUCAGUUGUUGAGCUUGUCGUUUCAGUUUGGAGAUUUUACGGAUUAUCUGAAGUGGUUUGGUGCAGAAGAGACUGAUCUUUCGCUUCACAAGUUGGAGGAAAUGCGUAGGCAAUUGGCAAUAAAGGAUGAGCUUGAUGGUGGUGAGGAGAAGAGCUUGAUGCUUUUAGUUCAUUUUUGAUAUAUAGAGUUUUAAUUCAUGUUCUCAUUUAUUGACUUUGUGUGUUUUAAAUUUGGAGUUUAACUCCAUGUACUCGAUACCCUUCAU
Long non-coding RNA from Brassica oleracea var. oleracea, 1618 nucleotides. RefSeq lists it as uncharacterized. The record is from RefSeq and is a predicted model, not a curated record. The transcript is spliced from 4 exons. Lineage: Eukaryota; Viridiplantae; Streptophyta; Magnoliopsida; Brassicales; Brassicaceae.